CAUGCUUACAUUGCAGUCGAACGGUAACGCGGGGCAACCUGGCGACGAGUGGCGAACGGGUGAGUAAUAUAUCGGAACGUGCCCAGUAGUGGGGGAUAGCCCGGCGAAAGCCGGAUUAAUACCGCAUACGACCUACGGGUGAAAGCGGGGGAUCGCAAGACCUCGCGCUAUUGGAGCGGCCGAUAUCAGAUUAGGUAGUUGGUGGGGUAAAAGCCUACCAAGCCAACGAUCUGUAGCUGGUCUGAGAGGACGACCAGCCACACUGGGACUGAGACACGGCCCAGACUCCUACGGGAGGCAGCAGUGGGGAAUUUUGGACAAUGGGCGCAAGCCUGAUCCAGCCAUGCCGCGUGCGGGAAGAAGGCCUUCGGGUUGUAAACCGCUUUUGUCAGGGAAGAAACGCUCCGGGCUAAUACCCUGGGGUGAUGACGGUACCUGAAGAAUAAGCACCGGCUAACUACGUGCCAGCAGCCGCGGUAAUACGUAGGGUGCGAGCGUUAAUCGGAAUUACUGGGCGUAAAGCGUGCGCAGGCGGUUUUGUAAGACAGGCGUGAAAUCCCCGGGCUUAACCUGGGAACUGCGUUUGUGACUGCAAGGCUAGAGUACGGCAGAGGGGGGUGGAAUUCCACGUGUAGCAGUGAAAUGCGUAGAGAUGUGGAGGAACACCAAUGGCGAAGGCAGCCCCCUGGGUCGAUACUGACGCUCAUGCACGAAAGCGUGGGUAGCAAACAGGAUUAGAUACCCUGGUAGUCCACGCCCUAAACUAUGUCAACUAGGUGUU
RNAcentral lists this ribosomal RNA (781 nucleotides) under uncultured bacterium. RNAcentral's name for it is "bacterial SSU rRNA". It matches the Rfam family "Bacterial small subunit ribosomal RNA", at positions 43 to 824 of the family's 1533-position model. The record is from RNAcentral.